This is a non-coding RNA of Chrysemys picta bellii (western painted turtle), 677 nucleotides long. NCBI's taxonomy places the organism in Eukaryota, Metazoa, Chordata, Testudines, Emydidae. The record is from RefSeq and is a predicted model, not a curated record.
GCAACAGCUUCCAGCAAGCUCCAUCCUUUCUGUCCCUGAGCCCUGUCCCACUCCUCCGCUUUGAGGAGAGGGGCUACUGAGUGGGGGGAGGGAGACAGGAGCAGGGGGACAUCCGGAUAUCAGCACCCCUGUGGCCCCCUCCCCCAGCAAGCAGGAAGCUCCUGGGAGCAGCUCCAAGGCAGAGGGCAGAGAUCACAGAGAAGAAUCAGAGAUUUAACAGCUGUCUGAACAGCGUAUUCAGUAUCAGAAAAGAUGAAUGAGAGAAGAGAAGGUAACAGGAACCUCAGUUCUGCAAAAUAUAACAAUUUCAGUUCAGGAGUAUGCAACUAUUUUCUUUGUGUUCGGUUUAUGUAUUCACAGCUGACUCCAUACUCUCAAGAUUUGAGGUAAAUUUUGAACCCAGAAACUCAAAGUAAAACUAAUUAAAAUUCAGAAUUUCAACUGAUUUUUUUUUAUUAAAGUAAAGGGUAAGCUCCAUGGCAAUGAUUUGUAAGAGUGACUGGUGAGAGCGGGGAAACAAGUGCUUAACUUGCAGCAUCUAAUACAGGCCCUUUGGCUUCAAUUAGAUUUAUGCAUAUGCUUAAAUACUUUGCCAUAUGGGAAUGUGAUUAUGCAUGUGAUUUAAAUUAAGCAUGUCCUUAAAUGUUUUGCUGAACUGGAGACGAUUUCCCUGGAAA